Molecule: long non-coding RNA, 219 nt
Filed under: Elaeis guineensis (African oil palm)
Lineage: Eukaryota; Viridiplantae; Streptophyta; Magnoliopsida; Arecales; Arecaceae
Description: long non-coding RNA (EGUI_LNC014344)
Source: RNAcentral
GAUAUUGCAAAGAUAGACACUGAAGAUGAGUAGCAUGAUGCCAAGUAGCGCAUAUGGAAAGUGACAAAGGGGGAGCCUGGAGGACAAGAUUAUGUCCACAAAGUUGGUCAAAGGAAGUAAUCGCAAAGACCAUAUGGGAUGAAGGUAAGCGGUGAUAAGAUAGAGAGUCAGAUGACAACUGGCUUAAGAAUAAUGUUUUGGAGAAAAAUUGGGAUGGAC